RNAcentral lists this ribosomal RNA (417 nucleotides) under Kluyveromyces marxianus. RNAcentral's name for it is "eukaryotic LSU rRNA". It matches the Rfam family "Eukaryotic large subunit ribosomal RNA", at positions 79 to 505 of the family's 3401-position model. The record is from RNAcentral. Lineage: Eukaryota; Fungi; Ascomycota; Saccharomycetes; Saccharomycetales; Saccharomycetaceae.
CUUAGUACGGCGAGUGAGCGGCAAAGCUCAAUUUGAAAUCUGGCGUCUCUCGACGUCCGAGUUGUAAUUUGAAGAAGGCGACUUUGUAGCUGGUCCUUGUCUAUGUUCCUUGGAACAGGACGUCAUAGAGGGUGAGAAUCCCGUGUGGCGAGGAUCCCAGUUAUUUGUAAAGUGCUUUCGACGAGUCGAGUUGUUUGGGAAUGCAGCUCUAAGUGGGUGGUAAAUUCCAUCUAAAGCUAAAUAUUGGCGAGAGACCGAUAGCGAACAAGUACAGUGAUGGAAAGAUGAAAAGAACUUUGAAAAGAGAGUGAAAAAGUACGUGAAAUUGUUGAAAGGGAAGGGCAUUUGAUCAGACAUGGCGUUUGCUUCGGCUUUCGCUGGGCCAGCAUCAGUUUUAGCGGUUGGAUAAAUCCUCGG